RNAcentral lists this ribosomal RNA (406 nucleotides) under uncultured bacterium. RNAcentral's name for it is "partial 16S ribosomal RNA". It matches the Rfam family "Bacterial small subunit ribosomal RNA", at positions 30 to 526 of the family's 1533-position model. The record is from RNAcentral.
AUUGAACGCUGGCGGCAGGCCUAACACAUGCAAGUCGAACGAGUGGUGUACGGGAGAGUAAUGUCUGGGAAACUGCCUGAUGGAGGGGGAUACCUACUGGAAACGGUAGCUAAUACCGCCUACCAUCAGCUGUGCCCAGAUUGGUGUAGCUUGUUGGUGGGGUAACGGCUCACCAAGGCGACGAUCCCUAGCUGGUCUGAGAGGAUGACCAGCCACACUGGAACUGAGACACGGUCCAGACUCCUACGGGAGGCAGCAGUGGGGAAUAUUGCACAAUGGGCGCAAGCCUGAUGCAGCCAUGCCGCGUGUAUGAAUAAGGCCUUCGGGUUGUAAAGGACUUUCAGCGGGGAGGCGUUACCCGCAGAAGAAGCACCGGCUAACUCCGUGCCAGCCGCCGCGGUAAUAC